Non-coding RNA from Peromyscus maniculatus bairdii (prairie deer mouse), 917 nucleotides. NCBI's taxonomy places the organism in Eukaryota, Metazoa, Chordata, Mammalia, Rodentia, Cricetidae. The record is from RefSeq and is a predicted model, not a curated record.
CUCAGGUCCUCGUGCUUACACUUUACCCUCUAGCCCAGUUUUCCCUCAUUUAUUUUUUGGGUCCAUUCUUCUCCACCCACCACCACCCCAGGCCCUCAUCUGUUUUGUUCUGGCCUUCAGUCGCUGAGUGAACGAAACUUGCCAUACAAGCUCUAACUCUCACGUGGCCCAUAAAGGUGCAUGCCAGUGUUUUCUUCUAGAAAAGAGGGUCGGAGAGGCUUUCCUCAAAGUUUGAUUCUUGGACUGUCCCGGCCCCGCAGGCCACACUCAGACACAGAAGUCUGGAUGAGUGAGGAAACACAGAGCAGGAGCCCCAGGCAGGCGCUACCCCAUCCAUCUAAGGCCCCUGGUCAGCCAACAGGUCCUGGAGGUGGUGGGAAGGAGACAGGUCUUCGGACGGGAACGGGAGCCCUGAGUGCGAGCCUCACUGUCAAGGUUGAACCAGGCCAGUGACCCUGAAACCAGCCAUGGCUAUUAAGUAGUCAGAGCCAAAGCUGCUGGAGACCACACACCGGGCCCUCUCCUGGGAGGUAGAGAUGGUUGUGCUGCUUGCAUGAGUCCCUGUGGAAAGCCCUUGCACAGAGGAGGCAGGGGGUGCACGCUCAAGACUCCCAUUGUCCUGUUGGGACCGUGAAGGCACCGAGGUCAAGCCGCCAGGCCACCGGCUUCAUGGAAUCUACAGACCAAGCUGGGAAUCCAUUUUGCCCAGCCCCUGACCCCAGGCCUUUCCACUGUACCCCAGUCCUGGCCCCAGGUCUGGCAGAAGUCCAGACUGCGGUUGGAAGCCAGUCUCUCUCCCCGGCACUUCACUGUCCCAGCCCGCUCCCCAGGAGCCAGGUGUGUUUCCUGCUUGGCCGCUUUAAACCGCCAUUAAGGUUUCCUGACAUUAAACUCUUUCCCAGACCCAAACUGUCUCU